Gekko japonicus is the source of this 321-nucleotide long non-coding RNA. RefSeq lists it as uncharacterized. Lineage: Eukaryota; Metazoa; Chordata; Lepidosauria; Squamata; Gekkonidae. The record is from RefSeq and is a predicted model, not a curated record. The transcript has 3 exons.
GGCCAAACAAGCCCCCUUCCAGCCUCCCCUGCCUCCUGGACUGCAAACAAUGGCUGAGAACUCAAAGGCAUCCAAUGAAGCUAAAUGGGCAGAAGAUUCAGAAGAAGAUUCAGGACGGACAAAAGGAAGUACUUCUUUACACAAUGAUGUGAUGGACGAAACUCUCCGGAAUAUCUUCCGUUUCGCAAGACUUCUUCUUACAUCAAUCAACCUAUCAAUUACAUUUUACAGCCAUUAUUAUAUCAAGGAAUAAACCAAGCCUCUAAUUACAAAAUGCUACCACCAUUUCAUACAUACGAUAAGUUGUCUUCAUCAAGUCAU